UGCUCCGGCCGCACUCCCAGGGAACACGGAGAAAAAGCUUUCUGUAACGUAAGCCCUUUCCAAGUGGUUGGGAAAGAAACAUCUCAGCGUUUAUUACGUUUAUUACUUUAUGCUGUAACCUUAAAGAAUCUGAAUGACUUGCAGAACGGAAGCUGUCCUCCACACGGACGAGGACGCACGCCGGACGGCCAACUCCGCCCGGAGAAGCACAGACCGGAAACGCCGGGCGGGCGGCCGGAAGUGCUGGGACCCCUCCCAAUAGCCCCGCCCUUCUCGUGACCCCGCCUCCCCGCGACCCGCACCCGGAAUCGCUGUCUGGAAGCGCCUGUCCCGCCUACGGGUGAGACCUUCCAUUUUGUGGGGAGCUGCGCUGCGCGGCGGCGGUGAGACCCCAUCUUGCCCCUGAACCCGGAGCUGGGAGGGAAGGCCCGCCCUGCCGGGGACAUCCCCUGCCCUCUGUCCCGGAUGCCCUGCUGCGGCCUGUGCCUGUCAGGCAACAUUUGUCACUUGAGAACAAGAGAUGAUCUCCUUUUUCAAGUCAACUCAGAACAAAGACUGUACCAGAGAGUGAAAUUACACGGAUGAAUAAAAGCAGAGAGAUCAUCUCUCCUUGUGGAGAACAUCACAUCAAUACAUCAAAAAAUGUAUUGUUAAGAAGACCUAAUUAUUGGCAUGGGAAAACAUACAAGGUCAGGGCAGACCUGGAAGACUUGGAUUGCCGUGCCAGGUCCGCACCUGGCCACUGACUGAGGAGCCGGCUGAACGCAGCUCCUGGGAGCCUGUGGGGCAGCCUGUCUGCAGGACUGUAUGGCUACGAGGAUAUUCUUCAUUAAGACAGCUGGGAGACUGGAUUCCUGGUAAGCCCGGGACCCCAUGGGCAGCCCUUCAGGUAAAGUGAGGACUGACACCUCAGAAAUACUUGGGGAUGGGAGGUCUCCUUCUGCCCUGGACGGUGUUGGGGUGGUUCCAGUGCGAAUCAUGGCGCCAGUGGCCUGGAGGGCCUGGACUGGCCGCCCGCCCUCACGUGGUGGAAGAGGUGCUGUACGUGAGCAGAGCACAGCAAAGCCAGCAUGGCGCAGGGCAGUGUGUUGGGAGUAGCCCAUUAGGAGCAGGACGUAUCUGCCUCAUUCCAUCAGUCAUCAGGACCGCUGAACGUAUUUGCCUGAGGGCAGAGCUGGAGGGAUGGGGGGGUGGUGGUGCGGGAUGUUCUGGGGACCCUCCGAAAACCUCUGGGAGCCUUGGGUGUUGGAGGAUCCCUGGGCCCAGUGGGGCAUCCGGUUCAAGUUGCCACCUUUGAAAGCAUUUAAGGGAGAAACCACUCCAGACCGUGGUGGUAUGUAGGUUUGGGGGCCCAAGCUGAGCCCAACAGCCCACAAGGUAACCAGCAGACAAAGGUUAGGUAACAGUGAGGGGCUGACUGUGCACCCUCAGGCUGAGCCUAAUUGUCAGGGACCCACUAUGCAUGCACAGCCAGAGGCUGGCUGAGAGGUGUCUGACUGGGUGUGAACAGGCAGCCGAGGCCUGAGGGAAUGCAUGCAACUGAAAAGACAAAUGGGAGGGAGGGAGGUCCUGGGCCCUGGAGCAGGCUCCGGAUGGACCCUUUGACCUCAACAUAGACCCCAGGGAGUGCUGGUUUUUGAGAAGCCCCGGGACUCAAUGAAGCCCCCAGUUUCGAAAGGGAUCUGUCUGUGCCAGUCUGAAGCUUCUGCCUUUGAAACAGUUUCAGGGAGUAACCACUCUCCACCCUGGGGUGGUGCACUUUGGUGCGCUGGCCUGAGCCCAGUAUUCCAUGAGGGGCUUGGACAACAAAGUUGGGGGGGCAGGUGAAUGAGGAGGGCUGACUGCACACUCACAGGCUACCCAGGCCUGGGGGCGGGCCUGGACUUGGAACAGGAGACCAUAGGUACAACUCUGACCCCAGUAGCCCACCGUGGCCCUGAUUGGCAAGGUGUCCUGGCAACUACCAAACGUGCGUGCACAGUUGGACGCCAGUGAUGGGGGGCCGACUGUAUAGAUGUGGCUGCCGUAGGCCCUGCAGGGCCUGGAUCUUGAGAAGCAGCCAUGAGCAAAGCCUAGGCGUGGAUGCAAGCUCCUGGUGGGACGUGGUGUCUGCAGAAUCCAAGCUAUAUUCUUCCCAGCUGCACAUACCACCCCUGAAGACAGAGCUGCAGGAAUCUGGGCUGACUUGACAGGAGGGUCUGGAGGGACAGUCAGGCUGCCCUCUAGAGGGACACCUGGAGAAGCCUGGGACCCCUCAAACAGCCAGUCCACCUGGGGGUGACUGUCACCAGGUUGAACCUGCCACCUCAGAAAGAUUGUUUUCUUGUGGGCUGCCUCCACCCUCCUGCUCUGGGGUCGACCUCUGGAGCUCUGCAGGACUGGAGGCCAGGGUGGGCUAGUGGGCUGGCAAAGGGUAGACGGUGCCUGUACAGGCCAUGCGGGUCAGGGUAGCCAUGGACCUGGAACAGGGCAGUUGUAGGAAGAGGCCGUGUCACAGGUGUAGUCUACUUUGUGGGUCCCUGAAGUCAGUCUCAUAGGAAGUCUUAGCUCACACACAGUUACAUAUUUCCACUGGAGCCGAGCUAGAUGCAGUUGCACUCCCUUGUCAGCAUGGGUCCAGCGGCUUCCUGGGUGGUAUCUUCCCACAAAAGACCCCUUGGAGCCUUGAUUGCUGGUAAAGCUGGGGACCCCAUCAGGCAGGCAGGCUUGCUGGGGACUGACUGCCACCACUUUCAGACUGCCUCCUCUGAAAAAUUCUCGGGGGUGGCAUCCCUCUGCCCAAGAGACUCUGUGGGUCAUUGGGGUGUGGGCAGAACUCCAGAGGCAGAGAGAGACCUGGCUUCCUCAUACAGGCGAGGGGAUAGCAAGGCAUGCAGAUGCAGGAGCCGGGACCAGAAGAGGGCAGGUGUGCAGAGAGGUUGGCUCUUGUGAAUGGGUCUUUGGCUAUUCAAGUCCUCUGCCUAAUUCCCAGCUCUGUUACACAAAGGAGUCUGUUUUCCCCCCAAGGUAAAGCUGGAGGAUUAUGGACUGCCUUGGCCAAAGAGGGCCCAUGUGGCUGUCAGGGUAUCCUUCAUGAAGAGACACCUGGGAACCUUGAUUCCUGGUAACCCUGGGAUGCCAUCAGGUACACAGCCAGUUGUGGUAGGGACUGACUGUUGACUCAGAAACAUUUUGUAGGGGAGCGUACCUUCUGCCCUGGAAGGUGUUCAGGUGUUUUGGGGUCCACUCAAGGCCCCAGAAGCCUGGAGGGCCCCAGCUGGCCCUGCUGCCCUGGGGGGGGCGGUAGAAGUGGGGGGCACUGUGAAAAUUGCACCAUGCAGGGGACCCAGAACCCGAGGGACGAGGCAGGUGUUGUGAGUGGAUGGUUGACGGUAUGAAGGAUCUGCUUCGUUUUCAUCAUUGAAUCUUGCUCUGAGAGCAGAGCUGGAGGAAUCUGGUGAGCCCCCCUGGAUGAGCCUUUGUGGGAUUGUGUGGGGGACCCACCAGACACAGACCUCUGGGAGCCCUGGAUGUUGGAUAAUCCCUGGGCCCAAUCAAGCAUGCAGUCCAAAAGGAGUCUGUCUCUGGGCAGUUUUAAGUUGCCACCUUUGAAAGAAUUUGGGGGAGUAAGCUAUCUUGACCCUGGGAUGUGCAGGUCCAGGGAAACUGGUCCAAGCCCAACCGGCCAAGAGGAAAUCAGACUUCUGGGUGCCUUUCACAUAUGGGCCUGCUGGGGCUCACUUUCCUGCCCACAUGGGUUUUUAGGAGACCAGACAGGCUAGGGCUUUUUCUAGGGGCUGUUUUAAGUAGGAGAGCUUGGUUCUUUUCUUAGCAAGGUUAUCUCAGAGUGAAGGGUAAAUUGUGUCCCCAAAGAGGGAUAAGUCCAUGUCCUGAUGUCAGGACCUCAUUUGGAAGUAGGAUCUUUGUAGAGUUAAGUACGUAAUAGGAGUCAUUAGGGUGGUCCUAAUCCAUCCUGACUUGUGUCCUUGUAAAAAGAGGAGAGACACAGACACAGGAAAAGCCGUGUAAAGACAGAGAGUGAUGCAAGAGGCACUGCCACACCCUGGGGAUCCCUGGAGCCUCCAGAAGCUGUGGCCCCUAUGUGGUGGGGGGAGGGGGGACCCCAGAUGGUUCCAUGUCCCCUGCGUGAUGGUGGGGGGUGACCCUGGACAGUUCCAUGUCCUCUGUGUGGCAGGGGACCCCCAGACAGUUCAGUGUUCCCUGCGUUGUGUGGGGAGGUGACCCUGGACGGUUCCAUGUCCCCCGUGUUGUGGCGGGGGAGCAACUCCCACAGGAUGCUCGCCAGCAAGUUAGUUCUGUAGGAGACUGCAGGGCACUGAAUCCCCACACCUGCUUGGCCAUCACAGCCUUCCUCUUAGGUCUUCGGUCAGCACAGGAUGUCCCUGGGGCCUGGGGCAGCUGGGCCUUCAGCCUCCACAUGGGGGCCUUCAGGUGCUGACGAAAAGUGCAAGUUACUCUGCCAGGAUGUUGGAAGGUGAACUUCUCAGUGGCCGCCUGGAAUGGGGGCUGCGAGUGGCACUUAAUGACUAAAUUAGAAGCAGAGAGGGUGAACAUUGUUGGGCUAUAAAUGGGAGGGAAGGUCUGACACUGCCAUGUGGAUGACCUUGAAAACAUGGUGCUCAGUGAGAGAAGCCACAUGGCGUAUGAUCCUGCAUAUGGAGUGUCCAGGACCCACAGACAGGGGAUCCAUGGUUCCUGGGCCACCAAAGGGUAGGGUCACGGGGAUUUUCUACAGUGGACGGUGGCAAUGGUUGUGCCACUCCUGAAUAUACAAAACACUGAGGUUUAUAUUUUGAAUGAGUUAGUUGUAAGGUGUGUGAAUUCUACGUCAGUACAGGUGUUGUAUCAGAAAUAACUCAGGGAUUCCAGAGCCGCCUCCACAGUCUGUCGCAGGAGCUGUGAGCAGGGCAGGACCGGUGAGUCUGACCAGGCGCUCGGAGCGUGCCGCACAAAAUCCCUGCCGCAUGAAGUUCUCGGGGGCCAAUUUGGACCUCAGCCCGCGAGGCCCGAUUCUGCGGCCUUGCCAUCCUCUCAGGAAUGAGGCAUCGCCCCCCAGCAGAAGAGCCCCAUCGAAGUUGCAUUGUUUUCUGCUCCUGCACCUGGCUUUCACAAUGGACGCAAGCGGCGUUUGGCGGAGUCUCCCUCCCUCUGGAGCUGCUGAUGAAGGGGUGAGGUGGCUGCAGCUCAGAAGCAGCUGCUGCAGGUGGCCUCCCCCCUGCAGUGGGCUGGCCUCGGCCUCUGAGGGGGCACUGGCUCCCGCUCCUGGACAGGGCUCCUCAGACUCCGUGAAAGGGGCAGUUGGAGACGUCUCUGAGGAGCCAGAUGGGUUCACAGUGGUGACACCCACAUGCCUGCCUCUCCGUGUGCCUUUGUUGAGACAGAACCCGCCCAGGGCCCCCCAGAGAAGCCGCAGCCAGGAAGGAGCCCUCACUGGGACGUCUCCCUGACUGCCGUGCACCAGCUGGGUACCCUGAGCCCAGUUUUUGUUCCUGGCCCCACACCAGCCUCUGGAGGCUCCUCCCCGUGUGGCCAGCCCUGACCCAUGUGCAGACACCUCCAUACACCCAGCCCCAGUCUUCUCACCCUCGGACUCGGCCUCCAUGGGCUCCGGCUCACGGACCACGGUCCAGUGAAGGACCAGCACGGGCAGCGGCCUGGGAGGUGGUGGAGACCUUCCCAGGCAAUCCACAGUUCUUGUUCCUGGAGAGCCCUCUGCAGUCACUUCCUCUGUGAGGGAGAUGGAAUGGGUGUCUGCCAGCUUCCUCCCAAUGUCAUCUGCGGUGUUCUGCAAAGACAGGGACUGGUAGCCGGCCUGGAGGCAUCACAGCCCUGCCCGGCCAUCCUCACUGUCCUCCUGCCCACUCCCCCUGAUGCUCCCAGAUCAGACACAGACCUGUGCUUGCACAGCCCAGAGCCUCCCAGAGAAGCCGUGGCCAGGAAGGAACUCUCACCGGCACGUCUCCCUGACUGCUGUCCAUCCGCUGGGUGCUCUGAGUCCAGUCUUUGCUCUUGACCCCAGCCUCUCAGGGCUUCUCCUGGUGGGGCCCAGCACUGCCCCAUCCCCACACACCCAUAUACACCCACCCCCCGAUUUCUCACUGUUGGUGGGUCCAGGUCCUCUAGCAGAGUCCAGGGAAGAUAUGUACAGUGCUCCAGGUCGGAACCAGGCAUGUUGAGCUGUACGUAGGCCACUAGCUGCUUGAGGCAGAGACUGUCUGGGGCUGACAGGUGCUCUUGAGAACUGGUCCAGCCAUGUGCCCAGAAUGGAGGAGAUGACCCUGGAAAUAGGCGGGCAGGCAGCAGAAUCAGUGGCCUGGCCCUUCCUCCCACACAGCCCCCUGGGAUCCUCUGGGAAUACUCCAGAGGCCAGCCCCACCCAGCCCACUCCCAUGUGCCAUGCAGGCAGGGGCAGGUCUGGUCAGCAGGCAGGGGCUGGCAGUCUCCACGGGAGGGAGCCCUCCAUCACUGGUGUGAGCACCCCUGCCUUCCUCAGCGGGUCCUGAUGCACUCGUCUGUCUGGGGUCCCUCCCUGCUGCAAAGUAAUCUCCAGGAGGGUGGGGGCCAGUGCCCUCCUCCUCUCCAGGAGCCCACCCUACAGCUCCACUCCUGGGAAUGUCCUGCACUUCUAGAACCUUCGUUUGAGCUCCACUGUGUGCAGAAAACCUGGGCACUCAGUUCCCCUGUCUCCCCAGUCUCUGGUCUGAGAGGUUUUCUUCCUCUGCAAACCCGACACCACCCUCUCUCAACUCCUCUCUCCCUCUUCUUUUCUCUCCCCACAGAAAGGGCUCCCUCCCCACCACAGUAGGGCAGCUUUUCUCUCCCCCAAUUCCUUUCCAGGGACCUCGCACUGCCCCAUUAUCUUCCUCCAACAGCGGAGAUCCUUUUUAUCUUUGCAUUGAUUUCCUGGGUGUCCCCAGUGAUCUGAACCUCAGUACAGCUGUGUUUCAGGGACCAGGAAAGCCCAGGGUCACCCUACUUCUCCAUCUUCUCCCAUAAUUUACAAGAUUCCAUUUAAAUAGAGGCAGACACAGACCCACUCCUAGGGACAUUUUGUUUAUAGUAAGGAGGCUCUGCAAAGCAGUGACCAAGGGUGCUUCUGCGUAAAUGGUCCAGGGUCAACUGGUUAUUAUAUGAGAAAAAAUUCAUCUUUACUCUUACCUCAUACCACGAACAAAAAUCAAUACCAGGUGGAUCUUAAAUAUAAAUGUGGAAGUUUGAGAGAAUAAUCUUUGUAAAAGAUACCUUAGGGAAUAAUUUCAAGAUCUUGGGGCCAGCAAAGAUUUAUUGGAACAUGAAGUGUACUAAACACAAAGGGAAAACGGAUUAUUUGGGAAUCAUUGAAAUAAUCAAAAGGCACCUUUCAGAGAGUAAAAAAGGCAGGCACAGAAUGGGGAUACACAUUUGCCAUCUUUUGAUUGGACAAUGUAAUGUGGUAAAGGCAGAAGGAAAUGGACAUAAAAUUAAAUGACCCUCUAACCUGCAACCCAUUGACAAAUACUUGAGGCAAGCAGAGUAUAAGAUUCCUCAAGGAAAGUCCCAACUGUCUUAAUGUUAAUGCCUUGCUAGACGGGAACACCUUAGCAUGACCAUAGCAAGGCCUCCAAAAUCCUGUGAGUCCUGUUUAGCAUAUGAAAAUCCGUUUGUAACUUUGUCUUUAGUUCCCCCAACCCCAAAGUGUAUAAUCAGUUGCUCCUCACAAUCCCUGGACAGCAUCUCUUCCUGCGCAGGGGUCCUGCCCCCCUGAUUUAAUAAAACUACCCUUUUG
Long non-coding RNA from Ailuropoda melanoleuca (giant panda), 7765 nucleotides. RefSeq lists it as uncharacterized. The transcript is spliced from 6 exons. Lineage: Eukaryota; Metazoa; Chordata; Mammalia; Carnivora; Ursidae. The record is from RefSeq and is a predicted model, not a curated record.